UUACAACCAUAUCACGGUGAAACAACGGUUCCUGUACGAUCACCGAAGUUAAGAAACGUCGAGCCUGGUCAGCACCUAGAUGGGUGACCGCUUGGGACUACCACAUGCUGUAAG
Molecule: non-coding RNA, 114 nt
Organism: Acanthosepion pharaonis
Lineage: Eukaryota; Metazoa; Mollusca; Cephalopoda; Sepiida; Sepiidae
Source: the annotation of a GenBank genome assembly